Molecule: ribosomal RNA, 253 nt
Filed under: uncultured bacterium
Lineage: Bacteria
Description: partial 16S ribosomal RNA
Rfam family: Bacterial small subunit ribosomal RNA
Source: RNAcentral
UACGGAGGUGGCAAGCGUUGCUCGGAAUCACUGGGCGUAAAGGGCGCGUAGGCGGGGAGGUAAGUCGGGUGUGAAAUCCCUCGGCCCAACCGAGGAACUGCGCCCGAGACUGCUUCUCUUGAGUCCCGGAGAGGAAGAUGGAAUUCCCGGUGUAGCGGUGAAAUGUGUAGAGAUCAGGAGGAACACCAAUGGCGAAGGCAGCACUCUGGGACGGUACUGACGCUGAGACGCGAAAGCGUGGGGAGCAAACAGG